This 253-nucleotide ribosomal RNA is filed under the name uncultured bacterium. Its description in RNAcentral is "partial 16S ribosomal RNA". It matches the Rfam family "Bacterial small subunit ribosomal RNA", at positions 524 to 776 of the family's 1533-position model. The record is from RNAcentral.
UACAGAGGUCUCAAGCGUUGUUCGGAUUCAUUGGGCGUAAAGGGUGCGUAGGCGGCGCGGUAAGUCGGGUGUGAAAUCUCGGAGCUUAACUCCGAAACUGCAUUCGAUACUGCCGUGCUUGAGGACUGGAGAGGAGACUGGAAUUUACGGUGUAGCGGUGAAAUGCGUAGAUAUCGUAAGGAAGAACAGUGGCGAAGGCGGGUCUCUGGACAGUUCCUGACGCUGAGGCACGAAGGUCAGGGGAGCAAACGGG